UAGCUGUAGGCCUUUAUAGGAAUAUUCGAUUUAAAAAUAAGAAUAUUUUAAAGUAUUUUUAUCUGUUUAAUGUUAUAUAUUUGGUUAUACCCAAGUGUAGCUGUGGGCCUUUACAGGAAUAUUCCAUACAGUAAUACAGAUAAUUCUAUUUAUUUUUAUCUGCAAAUAACUAUCAAAAGGACAUCAGAGCUACAUAAGAAAUUAUACCUAGGUGUAGUUGUGGACCUCUAUAUGAAAAACCAGUAUUAUAUUACAAUCACUUUUAUGUAUUUUCAUUUGUAAAAUACAAUUAAUAAUGUCUUAUAACUAAAUGGUAUCAAAUGGAUUAUUCAGAUUGGACUUUUAUUUCAAGUCCAAUGUUAUGUAUCUGGAUGUACUCAGAUGUAGCUAUAGGCCUGUAUAGGAAUAUCCGAUAUAAAAAUAAGAGUAUUUUAAUGUAUUUUUAUCUGUUUAAUGUUACAUAUUUGGAUACAUCCAGGUGUAGCUGUGGGCCUCUACAAGAACAUUCCAUACAGUAAUACAGAUAAUUCUAUAUAUUUUUAUCUGCAAAUAACUAUUGAAAGGACUUCAGAGCUAUAUAAGAAAUGGAUAAAUUCUUUUUCUUUUAAGGCUAAUUUCUCUUGAAGGACAGAUUGGAUAGAAUUAUCGCCACUUUCCGUUUUUUUUUCACGGUUAUUUUUUAUCAUAUCCACAUCACUUUCUUCAGUUCCAGAAACUAGUUUCGAAACUGGAGGAAAUUUGAAGACAAAUUUUGGCAGAAGAUAAAUUUUCUCCGCUCAAAAAUCGAUAGAAGAAAAAAAAUGUUAUUGCAAUCCCAAAAAACAAUUUAGAGAAAAAUUAAACAUACAACAGCUGAUUUUUCUUUUAAAAGUUCGUGCAAGUUUAUUUCUGGCAAGGGAUAAAAAUUUUUAAAC
Long non-coding RNA from Cotesia glomerata, 914 nucleotides. RefSeq lists it as uncharacterized. Lineage: Eukaryota; Metazoa; Arthropoda; Insecta; Hymenoptera; Braconidae. The record is from RefSeq and is a predicted model, not a curated record. The transcript is spliced from 4 exons.